GAUGAAGAACGUAGCGAAAUGCGAUACGUAAUGUGAAUUGCAAAUUCAGUGAAUCAUCGAGUCUUUGAACGCACAUUGCGCCCCCUGGUAUUCCGGGGGGCAUGCCUGUCCGAGCGUCAUUGCUGCCCUCAAGCACGGCUUGUGUGUUGGGCCCCGUCCUCCGAUCCCGGGGGACGGGCCCGAAAGGCAGCGGCGGCACCGCGUCCGGUCCUCGAGCGUAUGGGGCUUUGUCACCCGCUCUGUAGGCCCGGCCGGCGCUUGCCGAUCAACCCAAAUUUUUAUCCAGGUUGACCUCGGAUCAGGUAGGACUACCCGCUGAACUUAAGCAUAUCAAUAAGCGGAGGA
RNAcentral lists this unclassified non-coding RNA (345 nucleotides) under soil metagenome. RNAcentral's name for it is "partial contains 5.8S ribosomal RNA, internal transcribed spacer 2, and large subunit ribosomal RNA". The stretch from base 1 to 119 matches the Rfam family "5.8S ribosomal RNA", at positions 35 to 154 of the family's 154-position model. The record is from RNAcentral.